UCUCCGUAGGUGAACCUGCGGAGGGAUCAUUACUGAGUGAGGGCUCACGCCCGACCUCCAACCCUUUGUGAACCAAACUUGUUGCUUCGGGGGCGACCCUGCCGUCCGGCGCGGCGCCCCCGGAUGCUCAUCAAACACUGCAUCUCUUCGUCGGAGUCUUAAUGAAUUUAAACAAAACUUUUAACAACGGAUCUCUUGGUUCUGGCAUCGAUGAAGAACGAAGC
RNAcentral lists this unclassified non-coding RNA (224 nucleotides) under uncultured fungus. Its description in RNAcentral is "sequence contains ITS1, 5.8S rRNA gene". The stretch from base 176 to 224 matches the Rfam family "5.8S ribosomal RNA", at positions 1 to 49 of the family's 154-position model. Lineage: Eukaryota; Fungi. The record is from RNAcentral.